GUCUUUUUGUUAAUAAUUUAAAGUCUAAUCUGCCCACUGAUAUAUUUAUUAAAGGGCUGCAGUAUUUUGACUGUACAAAGGUAGCAUAAUCAUUAGUCUUUUAAUUGGUGACUUGUAUGAAAGAUUGGAUGAAAUAUAAACUGUCUCUUUUAUAAAAAAAAAAUUGAAUUUAAUUUUUUAAUUAAAAAGUUAAAAUUAUUUAAAAAGACGAGAAGACCCUAUAGAGUUUUAUAAUUUAUUUUGUAAAUAUUUUUAUUUUUAUACUUUUAUAAUUUUAAAUUAUUUUGUUGGGGUGAUAAAAAAAUUUAAUUAACUUUUUUUAAUAGUUUACAUUAAUAAGUGAUUAAAUGAUCCAAUUUUAUUGAUUAAAAGAAAAAAUUACCUUAGGGAUAACAGCGUAAUUUUUUUUUAGUUCAAAUAAAAAGAAAAGUUUGCGACCUCGAUGUUGGAUUAAGAUAAAAUUUAAAUGUAGAAGUUUAAAAUUUUGAUCUGUUCGAUCAUUAAAAUCUU
This 510-nucleotide ribosomal RNA is filed under the name Bombyx mori (domestic silkworm). RNAcentral describes it as "partial large subunit ribosomal RNA". The record is from RNAcentral. Lineage: Eukaryota; Metazoa; Arthropoda; Insecta; Lepidoptera; Bombycidae.